Molecule: long non-coding RNA, 1052 nt
Filed under: Cottoperca gobio
Lineage: Eukaryota; Metazoa; Chordata; Actinopteri; Perciformes; Bovichtidae
Description: lncRNA (ENSCGOG00000019303.1)
Source: RNAcentral
AAAAUUUUGGGCACUGAUACAGAACCUGAACAGACUAAGGCAGAGCCUGAAAUGGUAAAAACUAUUAUUACUCAAGGGUCACCAAGAAAUCUGACAGGCACUGCUGCUUCGGAAGAAACAAAGCAUACAGCAACCCUUAUUCUAGAUGUAUCGGAGCCAUUCACGUCUGUCACUGUAACAACUGAUACAGGUGAACUCACCACUAGGUCAAUCCCAGAACAAGCAAAACCUACACAGAUCAAAAGUGAUAACGAGAAUCAGAUGUCUCUCCUUACUUCAGCGCCUAUCACAGAAAUGGAUGCUGAGCAACCUAAGUCUGUACAAAAAAGGCAAGAGUCAAAGAGUUCAAAAGUUUGCACAACUGCAGAGCUUGAGGAAACUAAGAAAGAACCUAAGAAUGGAAAGACUUCUUCAACUGCUCAGGGGAUCACACAGCCAGGCGAACCUGCCAUUUCUGGAGAAAAUAAGCUCUCUCCAACCAAAAGAAAGUCAAAGGGUCCAAAACAUUCCCCAGAAUUUUCUUACAAGGAGAAAACACAGACCAUGGAAAAGCCUGACAGUCAAAUAGCUUUACUAAGAUCCAAGGAGCAAACUGAAACUGCUUCUGUGAAGGUAGAAGCUGAGUUUAUACCAACAAGGAGGAAGUCAAAGAGUCUUGAGGUUUCCACUGUUUCAGAGCCAGUAUCAGUCGUUGAAAGAACUACAGGUGUGGUGAAAGAAUCAGAGAAUUCUUCAACCUCACAGUUGGUUCCAGGGCCAACUGAAACUUCUGUUUUGGAACAAAAAAAGUUUUCCUCAAUUCCACAUGUGUCCACAGAACCAACUGAAACUACAGUUGUGAAAGAAGUUAAGUUUCUUCCAACCAAAAGAAGAUAUAAGGGUCCAAAGCUCUCCCCAGAACAUGCUACAAAGCAGUUGGCAGAGACUAAGCAAGAGCCUGAAAGUCAGAAGCCUAUAUUAAGCUCGGGAGCACAAACUGAAAAUAUUGUUGUGGAAGAAACUAAAGUUAUACCAACCAGGAGGAAAUCAAAGGGUCUAGAGGUUUUAACCAU